This 460-nucleotide ribosomal RNA is filed under the name uncultured bacterium. RNAcentral describes it as "partial 16S ribosomal RNA". It matches the Rfam family "Bacterial small subunit ribosomal RNA", at positions 338 to 795 of the family's 1533-position model. The record is from RNAcentral.
CCUACGGGAGGCUGCAGUGAGGAAUAUUGGUCAAUGGACGAGAGUCUGAACCAGCCACGUAGCGUGAAGGAUGACUGCCCUCUGGGUUGAAAACUUCUUUUAUAUGGGAAUAAAAUGUUCCACGUGUGGGAUUUUGUCUGUACCAUAUGAAUAGGGAUCGGCUAACUCCGUGCCAGCAGCCGAGGUAAUACGGAGGAUCCGAGCGUUUUCCGGAUUUAUUGGGUUUAAAGGGAGCGUAGGAGGAUUGUUAAGUCAGUUGUGAAAGUUUGCGGCUCAACCGUAAAAUUGCAGUUGAAACUGGCAGUCUUGAGUACAGUAGAGGUGGGCGGAAUUCGUGGUGUAGCGGUGAAAUGCUUAGAUAUCACGAAGAACUCCGAUUGCGAAGGCAGUUCACUGGACUGCAACUGACACUGAGGCUCGAAAGUGUGGGUAUCAAACAGGAUUAGAUACCCCUGUAGUC